RNAcentral lists this transfer RNA (74 nucleotides) under Aedes aegypti (yellow fever mosquito). It matches the Rfam family "tRNA". From Rfam's summary of the family: Transfer RNA (tRNA) molecules are approximately 80 nucleotides in length. Their secondary structure includes four short double-helical elements and three loops (D, anti-codon, and T loops). Further hydrogen bonds mediate the characteristic L-shaped molecular structure. tRNAs have two regions of fundamental functional importance: the anti-codon, which is responsible for specific mRNA codon recognition, and the 3' end, to which the tRNAs corresponding amino acid is attached (by aminoacyl-tRNA synthetases). tRNAs cope with the degeneracy of the genetic code in two manners: having more than one tRNA (with a specific anti-codon) for a particular amino acid; and 'wobble' base-pairing, i.e. permitting non-standard base-pairing at the 3rd anti-codon position. The record is from Rfam by way of RNAcentral. Lineage: Eukaryota; Metazoa; Arthropoda; Insecta; Diptera; Culicidae.
UGUUUUGUAGCUUAAUUGGUUAAAGCGCCGGUCUAGCGUACACGGAGUCGUGAGUUCGAGUCUCACUAGAACGC